AGAGUUUGAUCCUGGCUCAGAACGAACGCUGGCGGCAUGCCUAACACAUGCAAGUCGAACGCCCCGCAAGGGGAGUGGCGCACGGGUGAGUAACGCGUGGGAACCUGCCCUGGAGUUUGGGAUAACCCGGCGAAAGCCGGGCUAAUACCGGAUACGCCCCGAGGGGGAAAGAUUUAUCGCUCUAGGAGGGGCCCGCGUCGGAUUAGCUAGUUGGUGAGGUAACGGCUCACCAAGGCGACGAUCCGUAGCUGGUCUGAGAGGAUGAUCAGCCACACUGGGACUGAGACACGGCCCAGACUCCUACGGGAGGCAGCAGUGGGGAAUAUUGGACAAUGGGGGCAACCCUGAUCCAGCAAUGCCGCGUGAGUGAUGAAGGCCUUAGGGUUGUAAAGCUCUUUCGCCCGCGACGAUGAUGACGGUAGCGGGAGAAGAAGCCCCGGCUAACUUCGUGCCAGCAGCCGCGGUAAUACGAAGGGGGCGAGCGUUGUUCGGAAUUACUGGGCGUAAAGGGCGCGCAGGCGGCCCUUGAAGUCAGGCGUGAAAGCCCUGGGCUCAACCUGGGAAUUGCGCUUGAUACUCGAGGGCUUGAGUGCGGGAGAGGAGAGUGGAAUUCCCAGUGUAGAGGUGAAAUUCGUAGAUAUUGGGAAGAACACCGGUGGCGAAGGCGGCUCUCUGGACCGUAACUGACGCUGAGGCGCGAAAGCGUGGGGAGCAAACAGGAUUAGAUACCCCCGUAGUCC
Molecule: ribosomal RNA, 740 nt
Filed under: uncultured bacterium
Lineage: Bacteria
Description: bacterial SSU rRNA
Rfam family: Bacterial small subunit ribosomal RNA
Source: RNAcentral